UCCAGCUCAUCGCCGGCAGUCUAAACUGAGUUCCUCAAGCCUUACGACCUGAAUGGCAACAGUUUACAAGGGUUGCGCUCGUUGCGGGACUUAACCCAACACUUCACAGCACGAGCUGACGACAGCCAUGCACCACCUGUGCUAGCUCCCGACUUAACGGGUCCAUCCGCUUUCACUUCAGUACUUCUAGCAUGUCAAACCUAGGUAAGGUUCUUCGCGUAGCAUCGAAUUGAACCACAUGUUCCACCGCUUGUGCGGGCCCCCGUCAAUUCCUUUGAGUUUCAUCCUUGCGGACGUACUCCCCAGGUGGAGGACUUAAUGGGUUACCUGCGACACCGACCCCAAAGGAGCCGGCAUCUAGUCCUCACCGUUUACAGCGUGGACUAC
RNAcentral lists this unclassified non-coding RNA (387 nucleotides) under uncultured bacterium. RNAcentral describes it as "contains 16S-23S intergenic spacer region". The record is from RNAcentral.